ACGAACGCUGGCGGCGCGUUUUAAGCAUGCAAGUCGAACGAGAAGUGUACUUCGGUACACUGAAAGUGGCGAACGGGUGAGUAACACGUAGAUAAUCUGCCUCUGUGUUGGGGAUAGCUCAUGGAAACAUGGGGUAAUACCGAAUACGAUCCCUGGAUCGGUAGGGUCCUGGGAAGAAAGGUGCUACGGCACCGCACGGAGAUGAGUCUGCGGUUCAUUAGCUAGUUGGUGGGGUAACGGCCCACCAAGGCGACGAUGAAUAGCCGGCCUGAGAGGGUGACCGGCCACACUGGGACUGAGACACGGCCCAGACUCCUACGGGAGGCAGCAGCUAAGAAUCUUCCGCAAUGGGCGAAAGCCUGACGGAGCGACGCCGCGUGAACGAUGAAGGCCGAGAGGUUGUAAAGUUCUUUUCUCAGGGAGGAAUAACCGUGAUAGGGAAUGAUCGCGGGAUGACGUUAACUGAGGAAUAAGCCCCGGCUAAUUACGUGCCAGCCGCCGCGGUAAUAC
RNAcentral lists this ribosomal RNA (510 nucleotides) under bacterium enrichment culture clone NKeF3GL5. RNAcentral describes it as "bacterial SSU rRNA". It matches the Rfam family "Bacterial small subunit ribosomal RNA", at positions 29 to 526 of the family's 1533-position model. The record is from RNAcentral.